This 450-nucleotide ribosomal RNA is filed under the name uncultured Glomeromycotina. RNAcentral describes it as "bacterial SSU rRNA". It matches the Rfam family "Eukaryotic small subunit ribosomal RNA", at positions 569 to 1025 of the family's 1831-position model. The record is from RNAcentral. Lineage: Eukaryota; Fungi; Glomeromycota.
AGCAGCCGCGGUAAUUCCAGCUCCAAUAGCGUAUAUUAAAGUUGUCGCAGUUAAAAGCUCGUAGUUGAACUUCAGGCCUGUCCAGACGGUCCGCCUUAAUUGGUGUGUACUGUCCUUGGGUGGGUCCUACCUUCUGGCGAAGCGGCAUGGCCUUAGUUGGUUGUGUUGGGGAACCAGGACUUUUACUGUGAAAAAUUGAGUGUUCAAAGCAGGCAAAUAUGCUCGAAUACAUUAGCAUGGAAUAAUGGAAUAGGACGAUGGUUCUAUUUUGUUGGUUCUAGGACCGUUGUAAUGAUUAAUAGGGAUAGUUGGGGGCAUUAGUAUUCAAUUGUCAGAGGUGAAAUUCUUGGAUUUAUUGAAGACUAACUACUGCGAAAGCAUUUGCCAAGGAUGUUUUCAUUAAUCAAGAACGAAAGUUAGGGAUCGAAGACGAUCAGAUACCGUGUAGUC